This 460-nucleotide ribosomal RNA is filed under the name uncultured bacterium. RNAcentral describes it as "partial 16S ribosomal RNA". It matches the Rfam family "Bacterial small subunit ribosomal RNA", at positions 338 to 795 of the family's 1533-position model. The record is from RNAcentral.
CCUACGGGAGGCUGCAGUGAGGAAUAUUGGUCAAUGGCCGGAAGGCUGAACCAGCCAUGCCGCGUGAAGGUCAGUGCCCUAUGGACGUUAAACUUCUUUUGUGCGGGAGCAAUACUGGUCACGUGUGGCCAGACGAGAGUACCGUACGAAUAAGCAUCGGCUAACUCCGUGCCAGCAGCCGCGGUAAUACGGGGGAUGCAAGCGUUAUCCGGAUUUAUUGGGUUUAAAGGGUUCCUAGGCUGGUAGGUAAGUCAGCGGUGAAAUUCCCCCGCUCAACGGGGUGAAGUGCCAUUGAUACUGCUCGGCUGGAAUGCGGAUGCGGUGGGAGGAAUGUGUGGUGUAGCGGUGAAAUGCAUAGAGAUCACACAGAACACCGAUUGCGAAGGCAUCUCACGAAGCCGCGAUUGACGCUGAUGCACGAAAGCGUGGGUAUCAAACAGGAUUAGAUACCCGAGUAGUC